Molecule: non-coding RNA, 228 nt
Filed under: Bacteroidota bacterium
Lineage: Bacteria; Pseudomonadati; Bacteroidota
Source: RNAcentral
CAUUGCAGCCGUGUUGCCGGUUUCCGUUCAUUCGGAACUAAGAGGGAAUCCUGUUCAAUGCAGGAGCUGUCCCCGCAGCUGUAAACUCAAAGCCCCUCCAACUCCCCAAAAGGGAGGGCUGGGACAAAUUUUCGAACAAUAUUUUGCCACUGUUCCUUUUAACCGGGAUGGGAAGGCAGUUCGAAAAUCCGAGUGAGCCAGAAGACCUGCCUGCAACGAGAAGCUUUC